UAUGUCUGACGCAUAUACAUGAAAUAAAAUUAUAAUUAUAUAUAUAAUAAUAAGAAUAAGAAUUCUAAUCUUAAUAAAAGGAAGGGUUCGAAUAGCAUCUACUAAUAUUAUAUUACCGAAAACUUUGUGAAAAUACUUCUACGAGAAGGUUUUAUUGAAAACGUUCGAAAACCAUAGGGAAAGUAACAAAUCUUUCUUGGCACGUGCCCCUGCUCCUGGUCUUCGAACUAGUCAUUAAUGGUCGGCAACAUAGGUACCCUUUUUCGGUAUGCGUUGCGAACACUUUCAUUUUUAGCGUCUCAUCUUCUCUGGAGAAGCUCAAAUCGAACGGAUAGAGCAGAUGGUCCAACUACAGAACUUCUUCUUUUUC
This 370-nucleotide long non-coding RNA is filed under the name Oryza brachyantha (malo sina). Its description in RNAcentral is "long non-coding RNA (OBRA_LNC003487)". Lineage: Eukaryota; Viridiplantae; Streptophyta; Magnoliopsida; Poales; Poaceae. The record is from RNAcentral.